The sequence is a ribosomal RNA, 746 nucleotides long. It matches the Rfam family "Bacterial large subunit ribosomal RNA", at positions 251 to 993 of the family's 2925-position model.
GAGCGAAACGGAAACAGCCCAAACCAAGAGGCUUGCCUCUUGGGGUUGUAGGACGUCUCACAUGGAGUAAGAAAAGAAGAGCAUAAGCGAAGCGAUCUGGAAAGGUCCAUCGUAGAGGGUAACAAUCCCGUAGCUGAAAUGCUCUUCUCUCCGAGACGGAUCCUGAGUACGGCGGGACACGUGAAACCCCGUCGGAAUCCGGGAGGACCAUCUCCCAAGGCUAAAUACUCCCUAGUGACCGAUAGUGAACCAGUACCGUGAGGGAAAGGUGAAAAGCACCCCGGGAGGGGAGUGAAAUAGAUCCUGAAACCGUGUGCCUACAACUAGUCAGAGCCCGUUAAUGGGUGAUGGCGUGCCUUUUGUAGAAUGAACCGGCGAGUUACGAUGUCGUGCAAGGUUAAGCUUAAAAAGCGGAGCCGCAGCGAAAGCGAGUCUUAAUAGGGCGCUUUAGUACGCCGUCGUAGACCCGAAACCGUGUGAUCUACCCAUGUCCAGGGUGAAGUUCAGGUAACACUGAAUGGAGGCCCGAACCCACGUAUGUUGAAAAAUGCGGGGAUGAGGUGUGGGUAGGGGUGAAAUGCCAAUCGAACUCGGAAAUAGCUGGUUCUCCCCGAAAUAGCUUUAGGGCUAGCCUCGAGGUGAGAGUUUUGGAGGUAGAGCACUGAUUGAACUAGGGGUCCCCACAGGAUUACCGAAUUCAGUCAAACUUCGAAUGCCAAAAACUUCUACUCGGGAGUCAGACUGCG